Molecule: ribosomal RNA, 429 nt
Filed under: Chloroflexota bacterium
Lineage: Bacteria; Bacillati; Chloroflexota
Description: Chloroflexi bacterium partial 16S ribosomal RNA
Rfam family: Bacterial small subunit ribosomal RNA
Source: RNAcentral
UGGGGAAUAUUGCACAAUGGGCGCAAGCCUGAUGCAGCCAUGCCGCGUGUAUGAAGAAGGCCUUCGGGUUGUAAAGUACUUUCAGCGGGGAGGAAGGGAGUAAAGUUAAUACCUUUGCUCAUUGACGUAACCCGCAGAAGAAGCACCGGCUAACUCCGUGCCAGCAGCCGCGGUAAUACGGAGGGUGCAAGCGUUAAUCGGAAUUACUGGGCGUAAAGCGCACGCAGGCGGUUUGUUAAGUCAGAUGUGAAAUCCCCGGGCUCAACCUGGGAACUGCAUCUGAUACUGGCAAGCUUGAGUCUCGUAGAGGGGGGUAGAAUGCCAGGUGUAGCGGUGAAAUGCGUAGAGAUCUGGAGGAAUACCGGUGGCGAAGGCGGCCCCCUGGACGAAGACUGACGCUCAGGUGCGAAAGCGUGGGGAGCAAACAGG